GGCUCAGAGCGAACGCUGGCGGCAGGCCUAACACAUGCAAGUCGAACGGAUCCUUCGGGAUUAGUGGCGGACGGGUGAGUAACACGUGGGAACGUGCCCUUUGGUUCGGAACAACUCAGGGAAACUUGAGCUAAUACCGGAUGUGCCCUUCGGGGGAAAGAUUUAUCGCCAUUGGAGCGGCCCGCGUCUGAUUAGCUAGUUGGUGAGGUAAAGGCUCACCAAGGCGACGAUCAGUAGCUGGUCUGAGAGGAUGAUCAGCCACAUUGGGACUGAGACACGGCCCAAACUCCUACGGGAGGCAGCAGUGGGGAAUCUUGCGCAAUGGGCGAAAGCCUGACGCAGCCAUGCCGCGUGAAUGAUGAAGGUCUUAGGAUUGUAAAAUUCUUCACCGGGGACGAUAAUGACGGUACCCGGAGAAGAAGCCCCGGCUAACUUCGUG
RNAcentral lists this ribosomal RNA (439 nucleotides) under uncultured bacterium. RNAcentral's name for it is "bacterial SSU rRNA". It matches the Rfam family "Bacterial small subunit ribosomal RNA", at positions 21 to 507 of the family's 1533-position model. The record is from RNAcentral.